Molecule: long non-coding RNA, 115 nt
Organism: Drosophila albomicans
Lineage: Eukaryota; Metazoa; Arthropoda; Insecta; Diptera; Drosophilidae
Exons: 3
Source: RefSeq, a predicted model, not a curated record
CAAACAGCACAGUGCUUUUAUUUGAAGGCCUGCAACUUCAAAUAGUGUCUCGCAAUUUCGACCCGCAAGCCAAGAUUGUCAACAUGAAUCUGAUUUUCUCUUAUGCACUGAAAUC